Molecule: ribosomal RNA, 468 nt
Filed under: uncultured bacterium
Lineage: Bacteria
Description: partial 16S ribosomal RNA
Rfam family: Bacterial small subunit ribosomal RNA
Source: RNAcentral
GAUGAACGCUGGCGGCGUGCUUAAUACAUGCAAGUCGAACGGAAGGGCCAUGCUUUUGUGGGGUGGUCGUGUGGCGAACGGGUGAGUGACACGUGAGUAACAUGCACUUAAAUUGGGGAUAAAUUUAGGGAAAUGGGGAGAAUAUCGGGUAGGAGCUUCUGAUGCAUGGUGUGGGUUGGAGAGUUUCGGCGGUUGUGGAUGGACUCGCGGCUUAUGAGCUGGUUUGGGAGGUAGGUGAUUUCCAGGGCUUUGACGGGUAGCCGGCCUGGGAGCGUGACCGGCCACAUUGCUACUGCGAUACGGCCCAGACUCCUACGGGAGGCAGCAGUGGGGAAUCUUGCACAAUGGGCGGAAGCCUGAUGCAGCAACGCCGCGUGCGGGAUGAUGGCCUUCGGGUUGUAAACCUCUUUCGCCUGUGACGAAGCGUGAGUGACGGUAAUGGGUAAAGAAGCACCGGCUAACUACGUG